Molecule: ribosomal RNA, 538 nt
Filed under: Salmonella enterica
Lineage: Bacteria; Pseudomonadati; Pseudomonadota; Gammaproteobacteria; Enterobacterales; Enterobacteriaceae
Also listed under: 2 other names
Description: partial 23S ribosomal RNA
Rfam family: Bacterial large subunit ribosomal RNA
Source: RNAcentral
AGACCCGAAACCCGGUGAUCUAGCCAUGGGCAGGUUGAAGGUUGGGUAACACUAACUGGAGGACCGAACCGACUAAUGUUGAAAAAUUAGCGGAUGACCUGUGGCUGGGGGUGAAAGGCCAAUCAAACCGGGAGAUAGCUGGUUCUCCCCGAAAGCUAUUUAGGUAGCGCCUCGUGAAUUCAUCUCCGGGGGUAGAGCACUGUUUCGGCUAGGGGGCCAUCCCGGCUUACCAACCCGAUGCAAACUGCGAAUACCGGAGAAUGUUAUCACGGGAGACACACGGCGGGUGCUAACGUCCGUCGUGAAGAGGGAAACAACCCAGACCGCCAGCUAAGGUCCCAAAGUCAUGGUUAAGUGGGAAACGAUGUGGGAAGGCCCAGACAGCCAGGAUGUUGGCUUAGAAGCAGCCAUCAUUUAAAGAAAGCGUAAUAGCUCACUGGUCGAGUCGGCCUGCGCGGAAGAUGUAACGGGGCUAAACCAUGCACCGAAGCUGCGGCAGCGACACUGUGUGUUGUUGGGUAGGGGAGCGUUCUGUAAG